This 402-nucleotide ribosomal RNA is filed under the name uncultured prokaryote. RNAcentral describes it as "bacterial SSU rRNA". It matches the Rfam family "Bacterial small subunit ribosomal RNA", at positions 355 to 774 of the family's 1533-position model. The record is from RNAcentral.
UAGGGAAUAUUAGAAAUGGACGAAAGUCUGAUCUAGCAACACCGCGUGUGCGAAGAAGGCCUUCGGGUCGUAAAGCACUUUUUGGAAGGAGUAGGAAGGAAUGUACUUCCAGAAUAAGUCUCGGCUAACUACGUGACAGCAGCCGCGGUAACACGUAGGAGGCAAACGUUAUCCGGAUUUACUGGGCGUAAAGCGCGUGUAGGUGGUACUGUAAGUAGGGCGUGAAAGCUCCUGGCUCAACUGGGAGAGGCCGUUCUAAACUACAGAACUAGAGGAUGGUAGAGGGAGGUGGAAUUCCGGGUGUAGUGGGGAAAUGCGUAGAUAUCAGGAGGGACGCCAGUGGCGAAAGCUGCCUCCUGGGCCAUUUCUGACGCUAAGGCGCGACAGCUAGGGAAGCAAGCU